Molecule: long non-coding RNA, 397 nt
Filed under: Fukomys damarensis (Damara mole-rat)
Lineage: Eukaryota; Metazoa; Chordata; Mammalia; Rodentia; Bathyergidae
Description: lncRNA (ENSFDAG00000021706.1)
Source: RNAcentral
GUGUGGUUCUUCAAAUAUGAUGUUUCUUGAAGUUGCUUAUCUGGCUUCGUUUCUCAUGUGGGAACAGAAUAUUGUCUGGGGAUGGUGACCGACAAUGGCAACAUUCUUGUUACUCAAGGGCACUGGAUUCUUACAAAUUUUUCUAAAUUUUUCUCUUUAUUUCCAGCUGAGUCUGAUCACACUCUUUGUAGAGAUAAACUGAUGGUCUCUGCCUCAUCCAAACUUCCAUUUGAGCACCUCUCUCAGUUGGAAAGGGGGAAAAGCUUUGUAUAUUCUUCUACUACCACAUAUGUAUCAGAGCUUCAAGGAACUGUUCUUUCAGUACAGAGUUUGGCUUCUGAAACCAAAGUGAGACAAAACGGGAGAACACAGAAGGGAGACUAAUUCUUACUCCACG